Molecule: ribosomal RNA, 506 nt
Filed under: uncultured bacterium
Lineage: Bacteria
Description: partial 16S ribosomal RNA
Rfam family: Bacterial small subunit ribosomal RNA
Source: RNAcentral
AGUGAACGCUGGCGGUAGGCCUAACACAUGCAAGUCGAACGGCAGCACAGGAGAGCUUGCUCUCUGGGUGACGAGUGGCGGACGGGUGAGGAAUACAUCGGAAUCUACUUUUUCGUGGGGGAUAACGUAGGGAAACUUACGCUAAUACCGCAUACGACCUACGGGUGAAAGCAGGGGAUCUUCGGACCUUGCGCGAUUGAAUGAGCCGAUGUCGGAUUAGCUAGUUGGCGGGGUAAAGGCCCACCAAGGCGACGAUCCGUAGCUGGUCUGAGAAGAUGAUCAGCCACACUGGAACUGAGACACGGUCCAGACGCCUACGGGAGGCAGCAGUGGGGAAUAUUGGACAAUGGGCGCAAGCCUGAUCCAGCCAUACCGCGUGGGUGAAGAAGGCCUUCGGGUUGUAAAGCCCUUUUGUUGGGAAAGAAAUCCAGCUGGUUAAUACCCGGUUGGGAUGACGGUACCCAAAGAAUAAGCACCGGCUAACUUCGUGCCAGCCGCCGCCGUAA